Molecule: long non-coding RNA, 2254 nt
Organism: Ornithodoros turicata
Lineage: Eukaryota; Metazoa; Arthropoda; Arachnida; Ixodida; Argasidae
Exons: 2
Source: RefSeq, a predicted model, not a curated record
UUAGUUAAGAGCCACCAAAGUAAAUUCUACGCCCGACCUCUCAGACCGCUUCAACUAUAGAGAAUGCCAUUCAUUUUUUAAAAGUGCACGCUGGCACAUGUGAAUUUCUGACCGCUGCAUACCUUCACCCACAGAAAUUAGAGGUUUCUAUGCCUUCUCCGAACCGCUCCACCUUGCCCCUUUCACAUUUAUCACUAAUCCUAAUCUUCCAGGGGAAAUGGGGAGUGCGGACUUGACAGCUGGCAACCAAGAGCAGUUAAACUAGAUCUUUCUUACCGCCAUGUUUAAAUUUGUAGCGUGUCUCCUUGUCAAGUAGAGGCGUGCACAUCCACUGUAGAUUGCAGUUGACAAGAGCUGUUCCACUCUCAUCACCCAUGCCCACAGGCAACAUUUGCCCAAUCUACAUGAACAGCGGACAUCCUGGAUCCGCACACGGAGAGCUGGGAAAAUUCCUUUCCAUACUGAGAGACGCUGCCAUCCAACAAGCUGCGAACAACCAGUGACAAAGGCGGCGGAUCCGUACCAUCACCAAAUAAACAUCCCCAACCUGUUCCAUCGCAACAGAAGAGAAUCAAAGCCCACUUUGCCACCACAUGGGGGUUUAGAGCAGCUCCCCUGGACACCCCACUCCCGUGCCAAAGACGCAGCAGUACCGUCUAUCUGAGCCACUUUACUCCAGAGGAGGUGCUCCGCAAGGCAAAGCGAUGCAAAAACACUUUACCUGGCGACGAUCGCAUCACCUACAAGCACUGGUUAUGUGUAGACCCAGAGUGCAAAUUCCUUGCGGCCAUUUUCAAGGCAUGCCUCCACUACACAGAAAUGCCCGAUGAGUGGAGGCUAUCAUGAACUGUGCUCACCUCAGAGAAAGGAGACCCAUGAAUAGUGACCAACUGGAGACCUAUAUCCUCCAUUCAUACGAUCGACAAACUCUUCACGGGUUGUCUGGCAGUGCAUGUGCAAUCUUGGAUCAUCUCCAAAGACAUACUUUCAAAAAGCCCGAGCUACAGCCUGCAAUCAAAGAUGAACGAAAAAAAGCUCGAGCUAACCAAGGUGACCUAUGUCAACACCACUUAGAUCAAAGUCCUCUUCAUGUCCUCCUCUCCGCACACGCCACACUAGCUGUUCGACACAAUCGCACGACGACGAUCAGCCAACAUGGGCAGCACGCACUCCACGAGCUCGAGAAUAACUUCGAUUUUAAGGUACAUAGCAUGUGAAAAACUGAAACUGCACUUUCAUGCAUCAGACUUUGUCACCAACUCUCACACCACGAUAAAGUUUCUGGAAGAACGGCCCAAGUCUUCAUCUUUAGUUUUCUUUUUUUUUUAAGCUACCCAACCUAUAUAUCUGGACACCAGUUCAUCACACAUCACCUUCUCCCAAGUGGGCUAGAAUUCAGAAUAAGGCCCUAUAAAAGAAGAUUUAAAGAAUUCACCAGAAACAAGGACAGAACAAGAAGAGAGGAAUGCUGCAUCGUCCUGUGUAGAUUUGAAAGCCACGCUGCCUGGUGUCUGCAAUAUUGAAUUUUCUACAGCAACUGUGAACCACCAACGUGCAAUGUUUGAGGGUGAUCCAUCACCCCACGUGAGAUAUUCUGUUACAGUGCCCUCUGACCUCUUCGAUUCUGUUUCUGCUGGUAUGGUGAAGGUCAGAUAUCUUGGCUUCUUCUCUCUUCGCUGUCUCAACAGAACCUGUGACCGUCUCGGCAUAUGUUACACUUUCUGUUGUUGUUUGAAAAGCUUGUAUUUCCUGGAGCUACGAGUGUGUCAAAGACAAUGGCAGUACUAAAGUUUGCAUGCCCCUGGCUCGGUGAGCUCCCGGAGGACACUCUGUUAACAAGUGAUGGUGACUUGUUCAACCUGCAGAUAAAAUGGUUAAAAAGCAAGCGAGCUGGUGGAAGAUAAAAUGGUUAAAAAGCAAGCGAGCUGGUGGUUUUUGAGACUUUGUGUUGUGUCGUCUGUUUUCGUCUUUUUCCCAGUCUCGGGUUUUCGUCAUGGAUCUUGUUCAACCUGUUUUAUGGGCAACCUUGUACCAGCAAGAAUGAGUCAGUACAGUGCAGAACUUUUUUAUUUCUUUACAGUUAUUUUGAAUUCCAUCUCGCCCAUGCAUAGAACCUCACAAGAGGAUAAAUCUGCCCGACCAGCCAGCUCCGUGCCAUGUUUGUUGGAUUCAAUCGACCUGUGAGACUCUUGUGCAGCUGAAAUGUAGUUGAUGCAGCAACAAACACUGCAUUAAAUAACCUCUGUGAGGUAAA